Molecule: ribosomal RNA, 1050 nt
Filed under: Staphylococcus aureus
Lineage: Bacteria; Bacillati; Bacillota; Bacilli; Caryophanales; Staphylococcaceae
Description: partial 23S ribosomal RNA
Rfam family: Bacterial large subunit ribosomal RNA
Source: RNAcentral
AUUAGACGAAUCAUCUGGAAAGAUGAAUCAAAGAAGGUAAUAAUCCUGUAGUCGAAAAUGUUGUCUCUCUUGAGUGGAUCCUGAGUACGACGGAGCACGUGAAAUUCCGUCGGAAUCUGGGAGGACCAUCUCCUAAGGCUAAAUACUCUCUAGUGACCGAUAGUGAACCAGUACCGUGAGGGAAAGGUGAAAAGCACCCCGGAAGGGGAGUGAAAUAGAACCUGAAACCGUGUGCUUACAAGUAGUCAGAGCCCGUUAAUGGGUGAUGGCGUGCCUUUUGUAGAAUGAACCGGCGAGUUACGAUUUGAUGCAAGGUUAAGCAGUAAAUGUGGAGCCGUAGCGAAAGCGAGUCUGAAUAGGGCGUUUAGUAUUUGGUCGUAGACCCGAAACCAGGUGAUCUACCCUUGGUCAGGUUGAAGUUCAGGUAACACUGAAUGGAGGACCGAACCGACUUACGUUGAAAAGUGAGCGGAUGAACUGAGGGUAGCGGAGAAAUUCCAAUCGAACCUGGAGAUAGCUGGUUCUCUCCGAAAUAGCUUUAGGGCUAGCCUCAAGUGAUGAUUAUUGGAGGUAGAGCACUGUUUGGACGAGGGGCCCCUCUCGGGUUACCGAAUUCAGACAAACUCCGAAUGCCAAUUAAUUUAACUUGGGAGUCAGAACAUGGGUGAUAAGGUCCGUGUUCGAAAGGGAAACAGCCCAGACCACCAGCUAAGGUCCCAAAAUAUAUGUUAAGUGGAAAAGGAUGUGGCGUUGCCCAGACAACUAGGAUGUUGGCUUAGAAGCAGCCAUCAUUUAAAGAGUGCGUAAUAGCUCACUAGUCGAGUGACACUGCGCCGAAAAUGUACCGGGGCUAAACAUAUUACCGAAGCUGUGGAUUGUCCUUUGGACAAUGGUAGGAGAGCGUUCUAAGGGCGUUGAAGCAUGAUCGUAAGGACAUGUGGAGCGCUUAGAAGUGAGAAUGCCGGUGUGAGUAGCGAAAGACGGGUGAGAAUCCCGUCCGCCGAUUGACUAAGGUUUCCAGAGGAAGGCUCGUCCGCUCUGGGUUAGUCG